RNAcentral lists this microRNA precursor (110 nucleotides) under Dinoponera quadriceps. RNAcentral describes it as "microRNA dqu-mir-750 precursor". Its record names the gene dqu-mir-750. The record is from miRBase by way of RNAcentral. Lineage: Eukaryota; Metazoa; Arthropoda; Insecta; Hymenoptera; Formicidae.
CAUCGCGCGACUCUCAGUUGGAAGUGAGGAUCUAGGCAUUGAGCUCGGCGUAGCUCUCCCGAUUAACUUGCCAGAUCUAACUCUUCCAGCUCAGGAUCGCGCGGUUCCAC